Molecule: ribosomal RNA, 535 nt
Filed under: uncultured bacterium
Lineage: Bacteria
Description: partial 16S ribosomal RNA
Rfam family: Bacterial small subunit ribosomal RNA
Source: RNAcentral
UGGGGAAUUUUGGACAAUGGGCGAAAGCCUGAUCCAGCAAUGCCGCGUGUGUGAAGAAGGCCUUCGGGUUGUAAAGCACUUUUGUCCGGAAAGAAAUCCUUGGCUCUAAUACAGUCGGGGGAUGACGGUACCGGAAGAAUAAGCACCGGCUAACUACGUGCCAGCAGCCGCGGUAAUACGUAGGGUGCAAGCGUUAAUCGGAAUUACUGGGCGUAAAGCGUGCGCAGGCGGUUUGCUAAGACCGAUGUGAAAUCCCCGGGCUCAACCUGGGAACUGCAUUGGUGACUGGCAGGCUAGAGUAUGGCAGAGGGGGGUAGAAUUCCACGUGUAGCAGUGAAAUGCGUAGAGAUGUGGAGGAAUACCGAUGGCGAAGGCAGCCCCCUGGGCCAAUACUGACGCUCAUGCACGAAAGCAUGGGGAGCAAACAGGAUUAGAUACCCUGGUAGUCCACGCCCUAAACGAUGUCAACUAGUUGUUGGGGAUUCAUUUCCUUAGUAACGUAGCUAACGCGUGAAGUUGACCGCCUGGGGAGUAC